This is a long non-coding RNA of Beta vulgaris subsp. vulgaris (sugar beet), 464 nucleotides long. RefSeq lists it as uncharacterized. The transcript has 3 exons. NCBI's taxonomy places the organism in Eukaryota, Viridiplantae, Streptophyta, Magnoliopsida, Caryophyllales, Amaranthaceae. The record is from RefSeq and is a predicted model, not a curated record.
UUUUCCUCUCAAACCUUUGUUCUUCCUCAAGUAAGUUUUUCAAGAAUUCUCUUCAAUAAUUCUAACUUCUAAUCUAGUUUUGUUUUUGAAAUUUAUAGGAAGAUCUUGCAAUUAUCAAAGGGAAGUAAGAAGGUUUCAAGAAUAAUUAAAGCAGUCAAACUUUUGACUGUUGAUUUUUGUGUAAUCAAGAGUUUAGAGAAGAAGUUGCAGGUACAAGUUCUUGAUGUGCAUGGAAAUCAUAAGCAUCCGGAUGGAGUUUUAGUACACGAGUACUUUCUUAUUUAAGUUAUCUUGAAUUUUAUAUUUGACUUUACUUGACCAAUGGGGUCAAGGUUUGACUUUUGAAUAUGGGACUAGUAUGGGAUAGUCUCGGAGUUUGUAAUUCAUUUACAUACUUUCUUAUUUCCGUUGUAUUAAAGUAUUUUCAGUUUAUUUUAAAAGACUUCCGCUGUAUUAUCUGAUUA